AAUAUGUACAGAUGUGUCCAUGAUGGAGGAGAAUAGCAUUGUCACUUUUUCUGUCUUCUCAAUCACCUUCUCCCUCUGCAGAAACCUGUGUCCCCAAUGGCACUCCCAGUGACCCUCAAAUGGACCCUAAUGCCAUCCUUUGAGAUGAAAGAGGACUCUCAAAAACUGACCCUCUCUCAACUCUUGCCUGGCUCCUGGCACAAGUGCUCCAUAUCAUCACUUACUGUUUUAGCAAUGAAGUCUAUUGAGGAUUGCAAGGCUCCCUCUGCUCCUAUCCCCCACUUGCUC
This is a long non-coding RNA of Panthera uncia (snow leopard), 288 nucleotides long. RefSeq lists it as uncharacterized. The transcript has 3 exons. The record is from RefSeq and is a predicted model, not a curated record. NCBI's taxonomy places the organism in Eukaryota, Metazoa, Chordata, Mammalia, Carnivora, Felidae.